Globicephala melas (long-finned pilot whale) is the source of this 551-nucleotide long non-coding RNA. RefSeq lists it as uncharacterized. The record is from RefSeq and is a predicted model, not a curated record. Lineage: Eukaryota; Metazoa; Chordata; Mammalia; Artiodactyla; Delphinidae.
AACAGUUGUAACAUGUUCAUGACGGGGGUAUGAGAAUGGUUCAAGUUUGGGAACCAAGGGCUCUUGUCAGUGGCUCUGGAGUCUGAUGAGCCUGUAUGCUAGUUCUGGGGCCUCUGCUUACUAGCUGUGUGACCUUAGAUUAUCCAGGAUCCCUUUGGUCACAUGUAACAUAAAAAUCAACUUCUUCUGUACACUCAAUUUCCUAGCAGCAUUAUCCACAAUAGCCAAAAAGCAAAACAGCCCAAAUGUUCCCCGAUGGAUGAACGGAUAAACAAAAUGGAGGAUAUACAUACAAGGGAAUAUUAUUCAGCCUAAAAAAGGAAGAAAAUUCUGGCACGUGCUACAACAUGGGUGAAUCUUGAGGACUCUAUGACUGCAGAGCUGCUGAGAAAGAUCUCAUCUGUUCACAAUCUACCCGCAAAAUACACAGGCCCUGGGCUGUCUGGAGUGCCCAUUUCCUGCCCUGUGGAGAUCCCUGGACUCACGGAGAAAAGUGGCCGCUAUAGCAUGUGGGUGAGUAGCCCUUGCUGCCCCAGCAGGAAAGAGCAAAA